This 4793-nucleotide long non-coding RNA is filed under the name Equus caballus (horse). RNAcentral's name for it is "lncRNA (ENSECAG00000056884.1)". Lineage: Eukaryota; Metazoa; Chordata; Mammalia; Perissodactyla; Equidae. The record is from RNAcentral.
CCUAUUGUUACUUCCUGUUUUAUGGAUAAUAAACUGAGGCACAGAGAGGUUAAGACUAGCUCAUGGUCAAUCAGCUAGUAAAACAGCUGUCUAGGAUUUGUAAGGAGAGAUACCCAGUCCUUAAUGCAAAUGCAUCUAUGAGGAUUAAUGUCCAUCCUGACGAUCCUAUGUCUAUCUGAAUGGUGUUCUCAAAUGCGCUUAUGAUCAGGAAGGAUAGGUGCUAUGACCCUUGAUACCCAGAGUGGGACCAAAACAGCCACCCAGUAGCAGAUAAGCAGGUAAUCCUAACAUCUUUUGGCGAGGUUCUUGGAAUGUGGAUGUCUCCAGCCGUUCCUGAGUGAUGAAAUUUCAGUCUAAUUGGGUUUUGAAAAUAUCAUUGCAGCUAACCCUUUGCCUUUACUCUCCUUUAGAAUCCUGUUCCUUUGGCCCCAAAUGAACCCAGAGCCUUUUGUGUCCAGUGAAAGCUUGGACAGCAGAACCUUUGAAAUACUUAAACCAUUUGAAGUAGGGCCUCAAGUCAAGUUGUUGCUGUAAAAACACAAAUUCUAAGACCUAGGAGGUUCUAAGGGGAAAAAAAAGACAGGGUUUCCUUUGCUGGUAGAGAUGCUCAUAAAAGCAAAGUCAGCACCUCUCUGUCCAGGGCCAAAGGAGAAAAAAAUGUGUGUGAAGGGUAACAGAAGCGAUGUAGUGACAGGUCAUAGGAUUUAUGUCACUCGGGCCUGGGACUUACCUGAGAGGCAGAGGUUUGCUUAAAAGCAGGGUUAAUGGGAGAAUCACUGAACUUUGAACUAGGAAAAUAAAGCCUUCAAAAUCAUCCAGUCUAAUAAUUUUAGAAGAAAGGAGGCCUAGAGAGUGACGGGGCUUCCUGAAGUUCACCUGUCUGAAGAGUGACAGUGGCAGAGCCAGAGGCGGUGGCCGGGCCUCAGUUUCAGUCCACUGCUAGCAGCUCUACCCCACCUGGCUGAGGCUUGGGGAAGCAUGUGAACAGGUAAGGAGGAAAGUGCAAAGCAUCUUCAGGUCCAGUAUGAACAGAGCAGUGCAGCUACAGAAGAAGGCUUGUGUGGAAGAAAAGUGCCCCAGAAGGUUGGAAAGGUAGGCGAUUUGAAGCCCUGAUCGGGCUUGGGCUAGAGCCCCAAGGUAAUGCGGAAUCUGGGAGAUGCAUGUUUGAGGAAGGGGCAAGGUGAAAACGGGGAUGGAGCGAUAUCAAUGUAGUGGUGGUGUGCAGGCUGCAUGUGAGGAGGGAUAUCUUAAGGCAGGAAAGCCAGUGAGCACACUAUUGGGGAAGGCGUGUGCUAGAAGUCUUGGGUUUUUAUAUUUUAUUUCCUGAUGACGCAUGUAUGAGUGUGUGUGUGUGUGUGAGAGAGAGAGAGCAAGAGAGAAAGGAGGAGACAGAGAUUGAGAGAGAUCAGCCUGAUGCUCAGCUAGAAUUCAGAUUUGUUGGGACUUGUCUGAUGAACAGGUUGUGCUACCUUCCAGAAGCAUGGCUUUAAAAUCCUUCAGGAAUUUCCAGACGGUCCAUUUCCAUCCUCUCCUGCCCACCCGCGUGCCUCAGCUGAAGUGAGUCUGCUUACCCCGGGCACUGAUAUGGACAAAGAGACCUAUUGAUGCAUCUCCAGGCUGUGGUGUGAGGUGGUGGAGCAGUGGCAGGAGCAGAUUUCUUCAAGAGCAGACUGAGACAUUGCUGGAGACUCCUUGUGGAAAGAGGCAAGAGCCAAAGGAACUCAGAAACUUGAGCUGUACUUGACCUUGAGUAAGUUACUUCUCUGAGCCUUGGUUUUCACAUCUGUAGAAUGACAAUAACAAUCCCUGUGUUCCUCACAGCCAAGAUCCUAUGAUGUCCUUUCUAAAUUGAGAACUGGGUCACAAGUGUCAAGAAUAGGCUCUUAUAGGUAGACUGUAUUUAGUCUCCCAUCUCGGACUGUGAGGACCUUGAAAUCAGGGCCCAUAUCAUGUUUCUAUUUCGACAUGAGCACAGUUUAUUGGAUGGAAUUAUGGUGCUGUUGGCCUGUGUCUGGUUGGCGUGUUUGUGGUAUGGAUUCACUCUACAUUCACUGCAUGUUUAUUUCACACAUGCUCUCCUUCAGGUCAAAUCUGGAGAAAGUGGGUGAUGGACCAGUACCACCCCAACUUCAUCACAUCCCAGAAAACCCAAGCCAAAAGCCCUUUAAUAACAUAUUGAUUGCUUAGAUUCAUUUUCCAAGAUAUUUUUUGAAAUAUCUAACACAAUUCUUUUUGCUUUUACUUUUGCUGUGACUCAAAUUCUUAUUCCUGAAAGAGUUUUCUUGCUUCCCCCCUUAUUCUUCCAAUAAUGUCAUUUUCAUCUUCGCUUGCCUCUAGGUUUUUAGUGUGCCCUGUGAAGUGUAUUCACUUGCUCAGACGGGUGUGGAGGAAGCGUAGGCCAGGAAACCCCAGCAACCUCCAGCUAAUGCACGGGAGGCUUCAGUUUGGUGAUUACUACAAUUGUUGCCUAGUGGAACCGUGAGCCAUUAGCUGGGUUCUCACCCCUCUAUUAGUAUCACCCUGUAAUUUAAUCACAAUUAGACUCCCAGAAACAUAGGCAUCAGAAACAAGUGGGCAAAGGAGGCAGAUGGCAGAAAGCAACAGCAGUCAGGGGUUUUAAUCAAAGGCAGUGUUUUCAGAAGGUGCAGGGCCAAGAAGGAGGGAGAUCGGAGCUUGGAACAGGGUAAUUGGGCAAUUGAUUAGGGGACUUCAAGUUUUACUUUCUGGCAUUGAGGCUGGGGUCUGCCAGACGUUAAUCUCAUGGGCUGGUUGAGCCAGGCUUAUUUAAUAGCAUUAGGGAUUGAAAGAGGUCUUGAGAGGUGACUCCACAUUCCCUUCACCUUCUCUCCUUGGGAUCUGUGGGAGGAAGGCCUCAGAGAACAUUCUCAGAAGAGGUUUUUCUUUGUCUCACCUGGCUUCCUCCCCUCAGGCCCCAAAGUGAGCCCUUGAGUAUGUGUUGGAAUCAACCUCCUUUCUGAGGGCUCACAGAAGCUUCAGGCCUGGAGAUGACCGUUCCACUGGCUCUGUGUCCUACUGAGACGUCCAGGAUCCAACCCUUCUACAAAUCCACUAAUGUAUUUAAUAACUGCACACCCUCACCGGUAUUAGGAGAAGUUUCUGGCACUCCAGAAGAUUCUUGAAGCCCCAGGCUCCUUUUCCGAAAGCCAAAGGCAAGACCUAGGUACAUAGGAAAUAGGACUUCUCCUUCCUCUGACUCUCUCAGCAUCAAAUUCUCCACAUCUCAUAGUAAGUUUGUGAUCCCAAGCUGGGGGCUUUCCAGAACAGUGGCAGUUUUAAAUAUUUUAUCCUCAUAAGUACUUGUGAGGCCAUAUGCCCCGAUUUUGUUAUGGAAAAAACCCGUAAGUACGUACAAUCCUAGCUCAGAGCAUUUCCUGUCCGGCUGAGUCUACAUAAAUCUCGCCCUUCCCUGGCACCAAGGCAUAGAGGCAUUUGGAAGAUUUGUUGGAAUCCCAGCUAAGGAAAAGGUCGGUGUAGGAGCGGAGGAUAGGUGACCUCUUGCGUUUUGAAGCUUGAUUCUGAAGGCUUCCAAAAACUUAGGCAAAAACCCAUUCUCCUGAUGGACAGAGAUUCAGACUUGUUUCUACCUUUAGGCCUCAAAUGUGGCUAUAUGGCUUCAGCUUUUCAGAAUUCUCUCUCCCCCUAGCUCCCUGAUAAAAACCCCUUUAACAGGAAACAGAGCCUUUUACUCUACAGUGACAGAUGAGAGUUAACUGGCCUCUUCCUCCUGGGGCACUGUUUUUUAUACUGGAGAUCUGAACCCACUCUUGGGUCAUGAAAACAAUUUAGUGGGUCCUGACCUUUGGUGAAAUUUCAAAACUAUAUAUACAUACAUAUACAUAUGUCCUCCCACGGGGAGGAGCCUGACCAAGGGAGUGAGAAAAACAGUGUGAGAAGGAGAGAGGAAAGGGCCUGUGCAAAAGCCCACUCGCCACCACCUCCAAAAUAGCAUCACAAUGCUCAGAGUGCCAACAGUACACCAGGCACUCUGCCAAGUGCCUUAAAUGAGUUAGUCCUUUCAAGUCUCACCACACCCCAUGAGGAAGAUGAAUACUAUUAUUACUGUCCCCAUUUUAUAGAUGAGCAAACUGAGGCUAAGGAGAUUAAAUAACUUGCCUGAGGUCACACAGCUUGUACAUUGCCUGACACAAAUGGUCUCACACGCAGGUGUGCCCGAUUUUUCAGCCCAUGCUGUCAUGCAAUCACAGUAACCAGUUCCUCUUUGGCCUAAGGAACAGGGUUUGGUGUUGGCCCAGUAUCAAGGAUCAAGGUUGGCCAGCCAUGGGCCUUGCCUGUGGGCAUAGGGCAGGCAGGGCCAGGAAGCGAAGGAGCCCAGGUUUUGGAGGCCAGGAUCAGGGGCUGGUGGCUGCGAGGGUGGCAGCCCUCCCCCAGCCCUGCUCCUGCUUGCUGCAGGCUGCAGCUUUGCCAGCGCAGAAUGCGCUGCUAAUUAUAACCAAACAAUGAGCAAUCACAGCCCGCUGGCGGUUUAGCUCUCGUUAGAGGUCUGGCAGGCUUUUCAUUAGAACUUCCCUGCCGCCUGAAGGCGGCGGCAGGAGCUCUGGGCUCCAGCUCCCUCCUCCCCAUCCUGCUCCUUCUCCUCUAAGCCUAGUCCACCCAAUUGAGUCAGGUGCUUAGCUCCUCCGGUGUGCAGGGUCUGUGUUCAGUGCUGCAGGGGGGGACACACAAACCUCUCUCCUCUCUGCCAGGCUCAAAUGGGCUGGCUUUUUAAAUUCUAAUCAAGAGACUGCUGGAGGAUGGGGCGAGCUCACUGGGCC